RNAcentral lists this ribosomal RNA (402 nucleotides) under uncultured bacterium. RNAcentral's name for it is "bacterial SSU rRNA". It matches the Rfam family "Bacterial small subunit ribosomal RNA", at positions 356 to 775 of the family's 1533-position model. The record is from RNAcentral.
AGGGAAUAUUAGUAAUGGGCGAAAGCCUGAACUAGCAACGCCGCGUGUGCGAAGAAGGCCUUCGGGUUGUAAAGCACUUUUUGAGAGGAUGAGGAAGGACGGUACUCUCAGAAUAAGUCUCGGCUAACUACGUGCCAGCAGCCGCGGUAACACGUAGGAGGCGAACGUUAUCCGGAUUUACUCGGCGUAAAGCGCGUGUAGGUGGUUUGGUAAGUAGGGCGUGAAAGCUCCUGGCUCAACUGGGAGAGGCCGUUCUAAACUGCCGAACUAGAGGAUGGUAGAGGGAGGUGGAAUGCCGGGUGUAGCGGUGGAAUGCGCAGAUAUCCGGAGGAACACCAGUGGCGAAAGCGGCCUCCUGGACCAUUCCUGACACUCAGACGCGAAAGCUAGGGUAGCAAACGG